AAGAGAUUUGAAAUUCAAAAGUAAGCUUCUAACUUAACUUUUAAGCAGUGAAAUUCUGUUUACUCUCU
Molecule: transfer RNA, 68 nt
Filed under: Anthribidae sp. 6 ACP-2013
Lineage: Eukaryota; Metazoa; Arthropoda; Insecta; Coleoptera; Anthribidae
Description: tRNA-Ser
Source: RNAcentral